UGGUGGCGAUAGCGAAGAGGUCACACCCGUUCCCAUCUCGAACACGGUAGUUAAGCUCUUCAGCGCCGAUGGUAGUUGGGGGUUCUCCCCCUGCAAGAGCAGGACGUUGCCAGGCA
RNAcentral lists this ribosomal RNA (116 nucleotides) under Lederbergia lenta. Lineage: Bacteria; Bacillati; Bacillota; Bacilli; Caryophanales; Bacillaceae. The record is from RNAcentral.